This 153-nucleotide small nuclear RNA is filed under the name Octodon degus (degu). Its description in RNAcentral is "U2 spliceosomal RNA (ENSODEG00000022825.1)". The stretch from base 1 to 106 matches the Rfam family "U2 spliceosomal RNA". Rfam says of the family: U2 is a small nuclear RNA (snRNA) component of the spliceosome (involved in pre-mRNA splicing). Complementary binding between U2 snRNA (in an area lying towards the 5' end but 3' to hairpin I) and the branchpoint sequence (BPS) of the intron results the bulging out of an unpaired adenosine, on the BPS, which initiates a nucleophilic attack at the intronic 5' splice site, thus starting the first of two transesterification reactions that mediate splicing. The record is from RNAcentral. Lineage: Eukaryota; Metazoa; Chordata; Mammalia; Rodentia; Octodontidae.
AUUCCUUCUUGGCCUUUUGGCUAAGAUCAAGUGUAGUAUCUGUUCUUAUGAGCUUAAUAUCUAAAACUUCUGGGGCCAGGGAGAUGGCUCAGUGGAAUAAGCGCUUCCUUGGCAAGCGUAAGGGCCUGAGUUCAAUCCCCAGUUCCACAAAAA